Molecule: ribosomal RNA, 492 nt
Filed under: uncultured bacterium
Lineage: Bacteria
Description: partial 16S ribosomal RNA
Rfam family: Bacterial small subunit ribosomal RNA
Source: RNAcentral
AGUGAACGCUGGCGGUAGGCCUAACACAUGCAAGUCGAACGGCAGCACAGUAAGAGCUUGCUCUUACGGGUGGCGAGUGGCGGACGGGUGAGGAAUACAUCGGAAUCUACUUUUUCGUGGGGGAUAACGUAGGGAAACUUACGCUAAUACCGCAUACGACCUACGGGUGAAAGCAGGGGAUCUUCGGACCUUGCGCGAUUGAAUGAGCCGAUGUCGGAUUAGCUAGUUGGCGGGGUAACGGCCCACCAAGGCGACGAUCCGUAGCUGGUCUGAGAGGAUGAUCAGCCACACUGGAACUGAGACACGGUCCAGACUCCUACGGGAGGCAGCAGUGGGGAAUAUUGGACAAUGGGCGCAAGCCUGAUCCAGCCAUACCGCGUGGGUGAAGAAGGCCUUCGGGUUGUAAAGCCCUUUUGUUGGGAAAGAAAAGCAGCAGGUUAAUACCCCGUUGUUCUGACGGUACCCAAAGAAUAAGCACCGGCUAACUUCGUG